Molecule: ribosomal RNA, 255 nt
Filed under: uncultured bacterium
Lineage: Bacteria
Description: partial 16S ribosomal RNA
Rfam family: Bacterial small subunit ribosomal RNA
Source: RNAcentral
UACGUAGGCAGCGAGCGUUGUUCGGAGUUACUGGGCGUAAAGGGUGUGUAGGCGGUUCUUUUAAGUUUGGUGUGAAAUCUCCCGGCUCAACCGGGAGGGUGCGCCGAAUACUGAGGGACUAGAGUAUGGGGAUGGGAAAGUGGAAUUCCUGGUGUAGCGGUGAAAUGCGUAGAUAUCAGGAGGAACACCUGUGGUGUAGACGGCUUUCUGGACCAUAACUGACGCUGAGACACGAAAGCGUGGGUAGCAAACAGG